This 468-nucleotide ribosomal RNA is filed under the name uncultured bacterium. RNAcentral describes it as "partial 16S ribosomal RNA". It matches the Rfam family "Bacterial small subunit ribosomal RNA", at positions 28 to 507 of the family's 1533-position model. The record is from RNAcentral.
GACGAACGCUGGCGGCGUGCUUAACACAUGCAAGUCGAACGGAAAGGCCCGGCUCUUGUGGGGUGCUCGAGAGGCGAACAGGUGAGUAACACGUGAGUAAACUGCCCUUAACUUUGGGAUAAAUUCAGGGAAAAGGGGCUAAUACCGGAUAGAAUAUCCUGAAGCGUGGUGGGGGUUGGAGAGUUUCGGCGGUAGGGGCUGGUCUCGCGGCUUAUCGGCUUGUUGGUGGGGUAGUGGCUUACAAAGGCUUUGACGGGUAGCCCGCCUGAGAGAGUUACCGGCCACAUGGGGACUGAGAUACGGCCCAGACUCCUACGUGACGCAGCAGUGGGGAAUAUUGCACAAUGGGCCGACGUCUGAUGCAGCAACCCCGCGUUCGUAAUGCUGUCCUUUGAGUUGUAAACCGCUUUCGCAUGUACCGAAGCCUGAGUGACGGUACUGAGUAAAAAAGCACCGGCUAACUACGUG